GAACGCACAUUGCGCCCGCCGGUAUCCCGGCGGGCAUGCCUGUUCGAGCGUCAUUACAACCCUCAGGCCACGCCUGGCGUUGGGGUCCUGCGCUGCAGGCCCCGAAAGACAGCGGUGGGUGCGUCCCACGACCGAACGCAGUAGUUACUUCUCGUUCCGGGCGCGGGCGCAUGCCGGCCGGUAAACCCCCCAUUUUACAAGGUUGACCUCGGAUCAGGUAGGAAUACCCGCUGAACUUAAG
This 241-nucleotide unclassified non-coding RNA is filed under the name Tainosphaeria simplex. RNAcentral describes it as "Dictyochaeta simplex sequence contains 5.8S rRNA gene". The stretch from base 1 to 53 matches the Rfam family "5.8S ribosomal RNA", at positions 102 to 154 of the family's 154-position model. Lineage: Eukaryota; Fungi; Ascomycota; Sordariomycetes; Chaetosphaeriales; Chaetosphaeriaceae. The record is from RNAcentral.